UGGGGAAUAUUGGACAAUGGGCGAAAGCCUGAUCCAGCAAUGCCGCGUGAGUGAUGAAGGCCUUAGGGUUGUAAAGCUCUUUUACCCGGGAUGAUAAUGACAGUACCGGGAGAAUAAGCCCCGGCUAACUCCGUGCCAGCAGCCGCGGUAAUACGGAGGGGGCUAGCGUUGUUCGGAAUUACUGGGCGUAAAGCGCGCGUAGGCGGUUCUUCAAGUCAGAGGUGAAAGCCCGGUGCUCAACACCGGAAUUGCCUUUGAAACUAGGGAACUUGAAUCCAGGAGAGGUGAGUGGAAUUCCGAGUGUAGAGGUGAAAUUCGUAGAUAUUCGGAAGAACACCAGUGGCGAAGGCGGCUCACUGGACUGGUAUUGACGCUGAGGUGCGAAAGCGUGGGGAGCAAACAGG
RNAcentral lists this ribosomal RNA (404 nucleotides) under uncultured bacterium. RNAcentral describes it as "bacterial SSU rRNA". It matches the Rfam family "Bacterial small subunit ribosomal RNA", at positions 355 to 776 of the family's 1533-position model. The record is from RNAcentral.